CGGAGAGCGGAUCGCGGGGCGCAGGAGCCCGAUCGCGCUGGCCAUGGCCUCCAACUUUAACGACAUAGUCAAGCAGGGCUACGUGAAAAUCCGCAGCAGGAAGCUUGGGGCAUAUAAGGACGAACCCACGGGAAAAGCUGCGGUUCUCCAGGAGUCUGGUUGUUCCUCGCAGCCGGGACGGAAUGCUCAAGUCUGUCACCACACAGCUGUCAGCCAAGGGAGGUGCAGAGCUGGAGGUGGAAGGGAGUCGUCUUCUUAGCUUGACCUUUGAAGCCCUUUGCUUUACGACUGGAUGCUUGAUCAUUUUUCUCGGCCUUUGAUCUUCUUGAAAUCGCAAUUGUAUCUGAUGCCUCAGACUAUAUAAACUAAUGGAUGAGUUAAGUCCCAGACAAGAUGUAUGUCUGCGUUCACAGAGUCACCUGCAUAUGAAAAUGAGACUGAAGAAUGUAGCCUGAGCAUCCCCUUCCUGCGCACUUGGCCCUGGAGUCUAUAGGAUUCCCCUCCACCCCAUCCAAGCCCUCCAGGAUUUCACACAACAAAAAC
RNAcentral lists this long non-coding RNA (543 nucleotides) under Homo sapiens (human). RNAcentral describes it as "HSALNT0252670". Lineage: Eukaryota; Metazoa; Chordata; Mammalia; Primates; Hominidae. The record is from RNAcentral.